UGGGGAAUAUUGCACAAUGGGGGAAACCCUGAUGCAGCGACGCCGCGUGAACGAAGAAGGUAUUCGUAUCGUAAAGUUCUGUCCUAUGGGAAGAUAAUGACAGUACCAUAGAAGAAAGCUCCGGCUAAAUACGUGCCAGCAGCCGCGGUAAUACGUAUGGAGCGAGCGUUGUCCGGAAUUAUUGGGCGUAAAGGGUACGCAGGCGGUUUAAUAAGUCGAAUGUUAAAGAUCGGGGCUCAACCCCGCAAAGCAUUGGAAACUGAUAAACUUGAGUAGUGGAGAGGAAAGUGGAAUUCGUAGUGUAGUGGUGAAAUACGUAGAUAUUAGGAGGAAUACCAGUAGCGAAGGCGACUUUCUGGACACAAACUGACGCUGAGGUACGAAAGCGUGGGGAGCAAACAGG
RNAcentral lists this ribosomal RNA (403 nucleotides) under bacterium. RNAcentral describes it as "partial 16S ribosomal RNA". It matches the Rfam family "Bacterial small subunit ribosomal RNA", at positions 355 to 776 of the family's 1533-position model. The record is from RNAcentral.